AGUGAACGCUGGCGGUAUGCCUAACACAUGCAAGUCGAGCGGACGCACGGUAAGAUCUUGCUCUUGCUGUUGGCGACUGGCGGAUGGGUAACGCAUGCAUCAGAUACUUCUUUUUCUGGGGGAAUUUCGGAGGGACACAUACACUAAUACAUCAUACUAUGUACGGGUUGAAGCAGGAGUGCUUCGGACUUUUCGCGAUUCAUAUAGCUGAUGUCGGAUUAGCUAGUUGGCUGGGUAAAGGCCCACCAAGGCGACGAUCCGUAGCUGGUCUGAGAGGAUGAUCAGCCACACUGGAACUGAGACACGGUCCAGACUCCUACGGGAGGCAGCAGUGGGGAAUAUUGGACAAUGGGCGCAAGCCUGAUCCAGCCAUACCGCGUGGGUGAAGAAGGCCUUCGGGUUGUAAAGCCCUUUUGUUGGGAAAGAAAAGCAGCAGGUUAAUACCCCGCUGUUCUGACGGUACCCAAAGAAUAAGCACCGGCUAACUUCGUG
This 492-nucleotide ribosomal RNA is filed under the name uncultured bacterium. RNAcentral describes it as "partial 16S ribosomal RNA". It matches the Rfam family "Bacterial small subunit ribosomal RNA", at positions 29 to 507 of the family's 1533-position model. The record is from RNAcentral.